Molecule: small nuclear RNA, 107 nt
Filed under: Trichobilharzia regenti
Lineage: Eukaryota; Metazoa; Platyhelminthes; Trematoda; Strigeidida; Schistosomatidae
Source: RNAcentral
GUACAGGCUUCAGCGGCACAUAUACUACAACUGGAACGAUAAAGAGAAAAUUAGCAUGCUGCGAACCCACUGAUGACACAGAAAAUCGUCAGGCAUUCCUAAUUUUU